GCCCUAGUAACGGCGAGUGAAGCGGCAACAGCUCAAAUUUGAAAUCUGGCGUCUUUGGCGUCCGAGUUGUAAUUUGCAGAGGGCGCUUUGGCAUUGGCAGCGGUCCAAGUUCCUUGGAACAGGACGUCACAGAGGGUGAGAAUCCCGUACGUGGUCGCUAGCCUUUACCGUGUAAAGCCCCUUCGACGAGUCGAGUUGUUUGGGAAUGCAGCUCUAAAUGGGAGGUAAAUUUCUUCUAAAGCUAAAUACUGGCCAGAGACCGAUAGCGCACAAGUAGAGUGAUCGAAAGAUGAAAAGCACUUUGGAAAGAGAGUUAAAAAGCACGUGAAAUUGUUGAAAGGGAAGCGCUUGCAGCCAGACUUGCCUGUAGUUGCUCAUCCGGGUUUUUACCCGGUGCACUCUUCUAUAGGCAGGCCAGCAUCAGUUUGGGCGGUUGGAUAAAGGUCUCUGUCAUGUACCUCUCUUCGGGGAGAACUUAUAGGGGAGACGACAUGCAACCAGCCCGGACUGAGGUCCGCGCAUCUGCUAGGAUGCUGGCGUAAUGGCUGUAAGCGGCCCGUCUUGAAACACGGACCAAGGAGUCUAACAUCUAUGCGAGUGUUUGGGUGUCAAGCCCGAACGCGUAAUGAAAGUGAACGGAGGUGGGAACCUUUCGGGGUGCACCAUCGACCGAUCCUGAUGUCUUCGGAUGGAUUUGAGUAAGAGCAUAGCUGUUGGGACCCGAAAGAUGGUGAACUAUGCUUGAAUAGGGUGAAGCCAGAGGAAACUCUGGUGGAGGCUCGCAGCGGUUCUGACGUGCAAAUCGAUCGUCAAAUUUGGGCAUAGGGGCGAAAGACUAAUCGAACUAUCUAGUAGCUGGGUUCUGUUGA
RNAcentral lists this ribosomal RNA (869 nucleotides) under Macroventuria wentii. Its description in RNAcentral is "LSU rRNA". It matches the Rfam family "Eukaryotic large subunit ribosomal RNA", at positions 77 to 964 of the family's 3401-position model. Lineage: Eukaryota; Fungi; Ascomycota; Dothideomycetes; Pleosporales; Didymellaceae. The record is from RNAcentral.